GAUUCGAUUAUGGCUCAGAUUGAACGCUGGCGGGAUGCUUUACACAUGCAAGUCGAACGGCAGCACGGACUUCGGUCUGGUGGCGAGUGGCGAACGGGUGAGUAAUGUAUCGGAACGUGCCUAGUAGCGGGGAUAACUACGCGAAAGCCAGCUAAAUACCGCAUACGCCCUUCGGGGGAAAGCGGGGGACCUUCGGGCCUCGCACUAUUAGAGCGGCCGAUAUCGGAUUAGCUAGUUGGUGGAGUAACGGCUCACCAAGGCGACGAUCCGUAGCUGGUUUGAGAGGACGACCAGCCACCUUUCGGACUGAGACACGGCCCAGACUCCUACCGAGGCAGCAGUGAAAUUUUGGACAAUGGAAACCCUGAUCCAGCCAUCCCGCAUUGCGAUGAAGGCCUUCGGGUUGUAAACACUUUGUAGGAAAGAAACGGCACAGGAUAAUACCGUGCAACUGACAUUUACCUGCAGAAUAAAAGCACCGGCUAACUACGUGCCAGCAGCCGCGGUAUGCAGCAGAAUUGCAAGCGUUAAUCGGAAUUACUGGGCGUAAAGCGUGCGCAGGCGGUUCGGAAAGAAGAUGUGAAAUCCAGAGCUUAACUUUGGAACUGCAUUUUUAACUACCGAGCUAGAGUGUGUCAGAGGGAGGUGGAAUUCCGCAAUGUGUAGUGAAAUGCGUAGAUAUGGAGGAACACCGAUGGCGAAGCAGCCUCCUGGGAUAACACUGACGCUCAUGCACGAAAAAGCGUGGGGGCGACAGGAUUAGAUACCCUGGUAGUCCACGCCCUAAACGAUGUCAGCUGGCUGUUGGGGCCUUCGGGCCUUGGUAGCGCAGCUAACGCGUGAAGUUGACCGCCUGGGAGUACGGUCGCAAGAUUAAAACUCAGACGGGGACCCGCACAAGCGGUGGAUGAUGUGGUUAAUUCGAUGCAACGCGAAAAACCUUACCUACCCUUGACAUGUCUGGAAUCCCGAAGAGAUUUGGGAGUGCUCGCAAGAGAACCGGAACACAGGUGCUGCAUGGCUGUCGUCAGCUCGUGUCGUGAGAUGUUGGGUUAAUCCCGCAACUUGAGCGCAACCCACUUGUCAUUAGUUGCUACGAAAGGGCACUCUAAUGGACUACCCGGUGACAAACCGGAGAGGUGGAAUGACUUUCAGAUCCUCAUAAACCCUUAUGGGUAGGGCUUCACACGUCAUACAAUGGUCGGGACAGAGGGUCGCCAACCCGCGAGGGGGAGCCAAUCCCAGAAACCCGAUCGUAGUCCGGAUCGCAGUCUGCAACUUGACUGCGUGAAGUCAGAAUCGCUAGUAAUCGCGGAUCAGCAUGUCGCGGUGAAUACGUUCCCGGGUCUUGUACACACCGCCCGUCACACCAUGGGAGUGGGUUUUACCAGAAGUAGUUAGCCUAACCGUAAGGAGGGCGAUUACCACGGUAAGUUCAUGACUGGGGUAAAGUCGUAACAAGGUAG
RNAcentral lists this ribosomal RNA (1466 nucleotides) under uncultured Bordetella sp. RNAcentral's name for it is "partial 16S-23S ribosomal RNA intergenic spacer". It matches the Rfam family "Bacterial small subunit ribosomal RNA". Lineage: Bacteria; Pseudomonadati; Pseudomonadota; Betaproteobacteria; Burkholderiales; Alcaligenaceae. The record is from RNAcentral.